This 483-nucleotide ribosomal RNA is filed under the name uncultured bacterium. RNAcentral's name for it is "partial 16S ribosomal RNA". It matches the Rfam family "Bacterial small subunit ribosomal RNA", at positions 30 to 507 of the family's 1533-position model. The record is from RNAcentral.
AUUGAACGCUGGCGGCAGGCCUAACACAUGCAAGUCGAGCGGAUGAAGGGAGCUUGCUCCUGGAUUCAGCGGCGGACGGGUGAGUAAUGCCUAGGAAUCUGCCUGGUAGUGGGGGAUAACGUCCGGAAACGGGCGCUAAUACCGCAUACGUCCUGAGGGAGAAAGUGGGGGAUCUUCGGACCUCACGCUAUCAGAUGAGCCUAGGUCGGAUUAGCUAGUUGGUGGGGUAAGGCCUACCAAGGCGACGAUCCGUAACUGGUCUGAGAGGAUGAUCAGUCACACUGGAACUGAGACACGGUCCAGACUCCUACGGGAGGCAGCAGUGGGGAAUAUUGGACAAUGGGCGAAAGCCUGAUCCAGCCAUGCCGCGUGUGUGAAGAAGGUCUUCGGAUUGCAAAGCACUUUAAGUUGGGAGGAAGGGCAGUAAGUUAAUACCUUGCUGUUUUGACGUUACCAACAGAAUAAGCACCGGCUAACUUCGUG